Molecule: small nuclear RNA, 121 nt
Filed under: Catagonus wagneri (Chacoan peccary)
Lineage: Eukaryota; Metazoa; Chordata; Mammalia; Artiodactyla; Tayassuidae
Description: U2 spliceosomal RNA (ENSCWAG00000003775.1)
Rfam family: U2 spliceosomal RNA
About the family: U2 is a small nuclear RNA (snRNA) component of the spliceosome (involved in pre-mRNA splicing). Complementary binding between U2 snRNA (in an area lying towards the 5' end but 3' to hairpin I) and the branchpoint sequence (BPS) of the intron results the bulging out of an unpaired adenosine, on the BPS, which initiates a nucleophilic attack at the intronic 5' splice site, thus starting the first of two transesterification reactions that mediate splicing.
Source: Rfam by way of RNAcentral
UACACUUCUCGGCCUUUUGGCUAAGAUCAAGUGCAGUAUACUUAUAGAUAGAUUAUACUUUUAGAUGUGUGUCCACAGAUAUAUAAAUGUCUUUGUAUUUAUGAGUAUGUGUAUACGUUAU